GUGUCAAGCUCUGUGCUUGACAAAUGAGAAUGGUUGGUGUUGGUGGUGGACUUUGUGCUUCACUAACUGGCACCGACAAUUACUCUUUGUGCUUCACCAACUUGUACCUCCUCGUGAAUUCUGUGUCACUCACCCAAUUAGCAUAUCUUUGUGUAUGCUCCACUGGUUGCCAUGCUCUACAUCCAGUUGAUAAGUAAGAACGGAGAUGGCACAUGAGCAUAUCUUUAUCCACAAAAUGGAUGAACCAAAUAGACACUAUCCAUCAAUGUAAACGAGCUAGUUAAAUUCAAUUACGGUGAAACAUUGACAAGACAGCGAUAGUUGACGUGGAGACCCAACUGAAGUGGGAAGCAACAAGGACGUCUUCCUGAAAAGCAAAACAAAAAGUAAAAGCAACUAUUUCAAGAAGGAAAGCGUUUUCAAGUCAUUAACCGCUGUUAU
Molecule: long non-coding RNA, 441 nt
Organism: Pistacia vera
Lineage: Eukaryota; Viridiplantae; Streptophyta; Magnoliopsida; Sapindales; Anacardiaceae
Exons: 3
Source: RefSeq, a predicted model, not a curated record